UACGAGGGGGGCAAAUGUUGUUCGGAAUCACUGGGCGUAAAGGGAGCGUAGGCGGGUUUUUAAGUCAGGUGUUUAAUCCCGGGGCCCAACCCCGGACAGGCACUUGAAACUGGGAAUCUUGAAUAGUGGAGAGGUCAGUGGAAUUGGGGGUGUAGCGGUGGAAUGCGUAGAGAUCCCCAAGAACACCCGUUGCGAAGGCGGCUGACUGGACACAUAUUGACGCUGAGGCUCGAAGGCGUGGGGAGCAAACAGG
RNAcentral lists this ribosomal RNA (253 nucleotides) under uncultured bacterium. RNAcentral describes it as "partial 16S ribosomal RNA". It matches the Rfam family "Bacterial small subunit ribosomal RNA", at positions 524 to 776 of the family's 1533-position model. The record is from RNAcentral.